Long non-coding RNA from Pyrus x bretschneideri (Chinese white pear), 1703 nucleotides. RefSeq lists it as uncharacterized. The transcript is spliced from 2 exons. Lineage: Eukaryota; Viridiplantae; Streptophyta; Magnoliopsida; Rosales; Rosaceae. The record is from RefSeq and is a predicted model, not a curated record.
UUCAAGACCAAGGACAAAUCUAUUGCAAAAACAUAAGAUUUCAACUUGUAUAGAAACACUAUCAAACCAUUCAAGAAACUCUCAUGUUUGGCAAAUUGUUUUGUUAUACAGUCUCACUACCAAUAAACAAGUCUACAAACAUCAUUUGAAAGCACUAAUGACUAAUUUACUAAUUUGUAAUCAGAAUGAGAGAAAUUAAAUUGAUGAAGAAUUGUAUUAAGACGAAAUUAAAAUAAGAUUUAUGUUAAAGUUGUUUACUAAACUAUCUAAAAUCAAAGUAGGAAUGAUAGAUAAUUUCUUAUAAUUGUUUACAAAUUCAUUUGAAUCGGAAUUAAAAUUAAGUUGAUUACGAUAUUGCCCUUUCUGUACAACAUAUAUUUUAGAUUAUCCAGUAAAAGAUGACAAUAUCCGGCAAAAGAGAGAUCUUGUCUUGCCCUUCAUGGGAAUCUGUGAACCUCUCCUCCCUCCCACCUCUAUGUUCCCACUUCCACACUACCCCAUAGGCACCUUCUCGUCCUCCUCGGUCGCCGCCACCACUCUCUGCGUCUUGGGAGAAGCUAUUCUGAUUUGAGGCUCUACCAAAUUACCAAUCUCAUGCAGAGGGAUAAGAGCCACGAUAUUUGAUGGUCCUGCUGGUGUUGUGGUGGUGAAGGCACAAGAAGUCGGUGAAGAGAGAGGUGAGGGGAGGGACUGCUACAGGGAGGGGAAAGUGGGACCACUGGAGGAAAGUGUAGUCCUAUCCAUAUAAACAGCACAGCUGACUCAGCACAGUACGGCAUCCUAUGGAUAAGCUCUUAAGCCCUUUGCACAAUUCCAAGAACACUUUCUCAUGGUGUACAAUCCAUGUUACUAAUUUUGCAUUGGUUGAUCGUUUAAAACGAUAACAUUAUAUUAUAAUCGACAGUGCAGAUGAUGUUUUUAUGUAUCAUUCAUCCAUGCAAUUGUUCGAGAUAGAGAUGUUUUUGGUACAAUAUUUUAAUUGAAUCUUGAAUAUAUGUAAUCAUCGACAACAGAUGUUUAAGUCGUAUUGAAGAAUCAAACAGAAGAUACAUAAUAUCCACUUCUAUAUAAACUAACACAAACAGCUUCCCAUUUAUCCCAAUCCUCAAGCCCUCCAACACAACCUCUCACUCACUUCACUCCUUAUCUCAAUCUCCUUCCUAAAAAUCUAGCACCUAAAAAACCCCAGAGUUGAGUCUCUUCCUACCAACCCAAACAGAUUCCAAAGAUUCAAACCGGCGACGUUUGAAAACUUCAUCAUGGCUGCAGCAGCUAGCUCAACUUCCUCACUGUACGAGGUUCUUGGCCUUCCAAUGGGUGCAAGUGGCCAUGAGAUCAAGGCAGCCUACAGAAAGCUGGCCAGAAGGUGCCAUCCUGACGUUGUCGCCAUGGACCAAAAGCAAAACUCUACUAAUGAGUUCAUGAAAAUCCAUGCAGCUUACGCAACGCUAUCGGACCCCGAUAAAAGAGCAAACUACGACAGGGAUCUUUAUAGAUGUCCCCAACCUUUCCAAUCUUCGUACUCGUCGGCGAACAUGGCUGCGGCCGCUUCGGCAAUGGCGGGGUCUUCCCGACGGACUAAUAGGAAUUGGGAGACUGACCAAUGUUGGUAGCUCAAAACAGAGGAAACAGAGGAUCCCCUGUUUAUUAUGUGCAUUUAUAAAUGUCUGAAAUACAUUUUAGCUUUGUGGUUUGUUGGCUUA